UUUAUAUUUUUAAAUUUUUUUCUUUCCUAUCGGCCACUUUUAAACCAGGGUAAAGCUAUAUACAUAUAUUAACAUUUGCCGGAAAUAUUCUUUAGAGCUCCUCAAAUCCAAAAUUCUCUCUUUUCUAAUUAAAAAAUCCUCACAAGGUGUCUGUUGACAAAAUAGCUUAGAUGCGAUGAGGUGGCUAUUUAAUUAAGUCCAAUAAAUCUGUACAUAAUUAUGUAUGUAUGUAUGUACGCAAGGCAAGCAAAUUUUCUAAGGCCAACUUUAACUUUUUUGCUUAACUUUUGAAAUUUCGUUUAUAAUCUAUCAUUUGUGGAGAGCGCAUUUCUUACCUUUAAAGAAAACAUGAAAUUACAUCGAUUUUGUUUCUUAUUUAGCAUACAUAUUUCUAAGUUGAUUUUCCAUAGAUGAAAACGUAACCGUCGAAAAGAUAUUAGCUUAAAUAAAGAAAAACUUAACGAUUAUGCAUACGUGCAUACAAACACAUGCACACACAUGUAUGUACAUAAGUUUCCAUGACAUGCAAUGCGUUCGAGUCGAAAGUGUAGAAAAAGUGAAGUAGCAAAACGGAAUUACUAAUUGUGUGAAAUUUUCAUAGUUGCGUCGAGUUUCGCCGCUGCUGCGUGUGAACGAAUCGAGUGUGUCCCCGCUGUUGUCGUACUAGUAUAGGCUAUCUUAAUUAAUUGUAAUAACGAAUUAUAUAACAAAACAAAAAAAAGAAACUACAUAAAAGAGUACCGUUUCAUAUUUGAUAUAAUUACACGAAGAUUUGUAAAAUUUAGCAGCAAAUUCGUCAACUCAAAGAAACACAAGUAAUUUAUGAAACGAACGAGUAUCAAUCAAAUUGUAUGAAUUCAGUGGCACAGUAAAAAUUGAACUUAAAUCACACACUUAAACAUAAUUACAUAAUAUUGUAUACAAUACAUAUACAUACAUACAUGCAUCAUACAAUACAUGUAAGUUUAUUCAGAUAAACUUAUAAUUAUAAAUGAUUAUUAAAGUAAUAUAAAAAGUUAACGAAACGCAUUUUCAAUUAUACACAAAAUAACGGAUAAUUUACGACUGCAGCGAUGUCCGAUUACGAAAAUGUAAUUCAAAAAUCUAACGGUGAAUACAUAACGAUGCAAACUUUGAAGAUAUGGAUGAUGAACGUUUGUUCAGUAUAACUCCGACUUUCAGAGUUUCUUUGCAUGUUGUUGUUGUUCUAGUGGGUACCUAGUCGCCGUUAGGAUUGUAAGGAUUAGCUAAGUUGUCGACGACGUCAUCUAAUGGUUUAUAUUUUUUAAAGUCAAAGGAAACUAAGUAUAGCUUAAGGCAGCGGAAUUCGUUAAUGCUUUCAUAAAAGAAUCCAAUGCUAGGCAUGCUGGGGUCAUUGACCUAAAUAACGUUAGUUUCAUGUUCCUAAAAUUAAUUAGAGAACAGAGCAAAGCGAACGGGUCGGGUGAAAAGUUAGACAAAACGAAAUAUCUCCAUCUACAUAUUAAAUAGUCAGUGCAUUAUUAUAUUUACCACGGAUUCAGUUUCAGAAAAAAUUAGAUUUAGUAAAAUGUAGUAAAACGCUUCUUAUUUUCAAAUCAGAGCAUACUUAUAAUGAUGUGCUCCCAGAAUAAUCGAUUACCUUAAAUAAAUAACAUAAAUAAGUCGUCCACAACUGAAACUCAAAUAUCGGCAUGCGCAGAAGAUGUCUGUAAAAGGCAAACAAGUUGGUUACGUGCAGGACUAUUCAUUACCAGAAUCAAGAUGCCGUGCAAAGGAUGUGAAAAAGAAUGCAAAUGCACACCAGAAAAAUGUGAUGAACAAUGCAAGUGCGCCAAGGACAAUAAGUGCAAUUGCCAUGCCGCCAAGGAUGGAAAGACUGAAGGGGCGCCACCAAAGUCCUGCUGCAGCGGAGGCAGCGAAGAAAAGAAGUGUGGCAAUUAGACUGAGUGUAAUAUAAUGCUUAUGAUGAUAAUAUUGAUUUGAAAACUGUAUUCGUAUAUGCCAAUAAAUACUUAAAACUGCGUCUUUGAAAAA
This is a long non-coding RNA of Bactrocera dorsalis (oriental fruit fly), 2016 nucleotides long. RefSeq lists it as uncharacterized. The record is from RefSeq and is a predicted model, not a curated record. The transcript is spliced from 2 exons. NCBI's taxonomy places the organism in Eukaryota, Metazoa, Arthropoda, Insecta, Diptera, Tephritidae.